This 563-nucleotide ribosomal RNA is filed under the name uncultured bacterium. Its description in RNAcentral is "partial 16S ribosomal RNA". It matches the Rfam family "Bacterial small subunit ribosomal RNA", at positions 355 to 939 of the family's 1533-position model. The record is from RNAcentral.
UGGGGAAUAUUGCACAAUGGGCGAAAGCCUGAUGCAGCAACGCCGCGUGAGUGAUGAAGGCCUUCGGGUUGUAAAGCUCUGUCUUUUGGGACGAUAAUGACGGUACCAAAGGAGGAAGCCACGGCUAACUACGUGCCAGCAGCCGCGGUAAUACGUAGGUGGCAAGCGUUGUCCGGAUUUACUGGGCGUAAAGGAUGCGUAGGCGGAUUUUUAAGUGAGAUGUGAAAUACCCGGGCUUAACUUGGGUGCUGCAUUUCAAACUGGGAAUCUAGAGUGCGGGAGAGGAGAAUGGAAUUCCUAGUGUAGCGGUGAAAUGCGUAGAGAUUAGGAAGAACACCAGUGGCGAAGGCGAUUCUCUGGACCGUAACUGACGCUGAGGCAUGAAAGCGUGGGUAGCAAACAGGAUUAGAUACCCUGGUAGUCCACGCCGUAAACGAUGAGUACUAGGUGUAGGAGGUAUCGACCCCUUCUGUGCCGCAGUUAACACAAUCAAGUACUCCGCCUGGGAAGUACGAUCGCAAGAUUAAAACUCAAAGGAAUUGACGGGGUCAAUAGCUGUUUCC